AAUCAACGCUGGCGGCGCGCCUAACACAUGCAAGUCGCACGAGAAAGGUCCUUCGGGCGUGAGUACAGUGGCGCACGGGUGGAGUAACACGUGGAUACCUGCCCUCAAGUGGGGAAGUAACUUUGGGAAACCGGGGCGUAAUACCGCAUACGUUCGAGAGAAGAAAGACAGCAAUGCGCUUGAGGAGGGGUCCGCGGCUGAUUAGCUAGUUGGUGGGGUAAAAGCCUACCAAGGCGAAGAUCAGUAGCCGGCCUGAGAGGGCACACGGCCACACUGGCACUGAGACACGGGGCCAGACUCCUACGGGAGGCAGCAGUGAGGAAUAUUGGACAAUGGGCGCAAGCCUGAUCCAGCCAUGCGCGUGCAGGAAG
Molecule: ribosomal RNA, 371 nt
Filed under: uncultured bacterium
Lineage: Bacteria
Description: bacterial SSU rRNA
Rfam family: Bacterial small subunit ribosomal RNA
Source: RNAcentral